AAGCAAGACCGUGAGGUGGAGCAAAACNCAAAAACUUGUCUCAGUUCGGAUUGUAGGCUGAAACUCGCCUACAUGAAGCUGGAGUUGCUAGUAAUCGCGAAUCAGCAUGUCGCGGUGAAUACGUUCCCGGGCCUUGUACACACCGCCCGUCACACCAUGAGAGUUGGCAAUACCCAACGUACGUGAUCUAACCCGCAAGGGAGGAAGCGUCCUAAGGUAGGGUCAGCGAUUGGGGUGAAGUCGUAACAAGGUAUC
This 255-nucleotide ribosomal RNA is filed under the name uncultured bacterium. Its description in RNAcentral is "partial 16S ribosomal RNA". It matches the Rfam family "Bacterial small subunit ribosomal RNA", at positions 1247 to 1500 of the family's 1533-position model. The record is from RNAcentral.